RNAcentral lists this ribosomal RNA (407 nucleotides) under Escherichia coli. RNAcentral describes it as "bacterial SSU rRNA". It matches the Rfam family "Bacterial small subunit ribosomal RNA", at positions 1119 to 1526 of the family's 1533-position model. Lineage: Bacteria; Pseudomonadati; Pseudomonadota; Gammaproteobacteria; Enterobacterales; Enterobacteriaceae. The record is from RNAcentral.
CAGCGGUCCGGCCGGGAACUCAAAGGAGACUGCCAGUGAUAAACUGGAGGAAGGUGGGGAUGACGUCAAGUCAUCAUGGCCCUUACGACCAGGGCUACACACGUGCUACAAUGGCGCAUACAAAGAGAAGCGACCUCGCGAGAGCAAGCGGACCUCAUAAAGUGCGUCGUAGUCCGGAUUGGAGUCUGCAACUCGACUCCAUGAAGUCGGAAUCGCUAGUAAUCGUGGAUCAGAAUGCCACGGUGAAUACGUUCCCGGGCCUUGUACACACCGCCCGUCACACCAUGGGAGUGGGUUGCAAAAGAAGUAGGUAGCUUAACCUUCGGGAGGGCGCUUACCACUUUGUGAUUCAUGACUGGGGUGAAGUCGUAACAAGGUAACCGUAGGGGAACCUGCGGUUGGAUCAC